Molecule: ribosomal RNA, 377 nt
Filed under: Kongota punctigera
Lineage: Eukaryota; Metazoa; Arthropoda; Insecta; Hemiptera; Cicadidae
Description: partial 16S ribosomal RNA
Source: RNAcentral
UGCGCGCGGUAAUUUGACCGUGCAAAGGUAGCAUGUUUAUUAGUCUUUUAAUUGAAGGCUUGAAUGAACGAUUGGAUGAAAAAUUAACUUUAUUAAUGUAAAUUAUUUAAUUUAUCAUUUAAGUAAAAAUUCUUAAAUAUAUAAGUGGGACGAGAAGACCCUAUAGAGUUUAAAUUUUUUUUUUAUUAUAAAAUUUAAGAAUUUGUAUUUUUAUAAUAAAAUAUAAAGUUUUUGUUGGGGUGAUAUUAAAAAUUAUUGAACUUUUAAUUAAUAUUUCAUUAAUGUAUGUUAUGUUGAUCCAAAAUUUUUUGAUUAUAAGAUAAAAUUACCUUAGGGAUAACAGCGUUAUUAGUUUGGAAAGUUCAAAUCGAUAAAUU